Molecule: non-coding RNA, 829 nt
Organism: Salmo salar (Atlantic salmon)
Lineage: Eukaryota; Metazoa; Chordata; Actinopteri; Salmoniformes; Salmonidae
Source: RefSeq, a predicted model, not a curated record
UGUUGUAUGUGUCAAACUGCUUUGCUUUAUCUUGGCCAGGUCACAAUUGUAAAUGAGAACUUGUUCUCAACUUGCCAACCUGGUUAAAUAAAGGUAAAAUAAAAAAAUCUACACAUGUAUCAAUCUGAUUGAUGGAUUGUGUUGUGCAGUAAGCAGGCUCAGGUGUAUAACUGUGGCUCCUUCCACCUUCAAAGAAUGGGCAAAAGAGCCAACCAUGGAGAAUAGCAAGACACUUCACUAUUUCUAUAACUAUGCUAUAUUGUUUGUCCUCGUGUUCAUUCAUGGUUUUCAGCACAAAGUACUCUGCAGCCACUUAGUGUGGACACCAGGUGAGGCCACACACACAGAUUCCUGUUGAACACUGUCCCUUUAACUAACUUAAUUUCUCAAUAAGUCUCUCUCCUUCACUUCCUCCCUCUUCUCCCUAAAUCCUCUAGGUUAUAUCAGCUGGGUCGGUAAACCCCUCACGCAUCUGAACUGGCUACAUAGAGGGCACAGCAUGAUAAGAGGAGAGGCAACUUGAUGUUUUGAUGUGAGAGGAUGCCAACCCCCAGUCCCACCAUCGCCACCUCACCCGCUUUUAAGAUGACCUUCGGGCCGACUAGACACAUGUAAUUGUGAUGAACUGAGAGAAUAUUUGGGUUGCACUGUGAUUCAUUAAUCAUAGGAGCAGGGAAGGCAGCAUAUGUUCUUACCUCUUUCCCUUUCUGUCUUUUACACCUCUUCCUCUGUUUUUAUAAUGCAUAACAGAUGUGCAUUGAAGUACAGUUUGAACUUGUAUUGAUAACCCUUGGAUAAUGAACUGCUUUCAAUAAAGCGUUUCACAUUA